RNAcentral lists this ribosomal RNA (1362 nucleotides) under uncultured bacterium. Its description in RNAcentral is "bacterial SSU rRNA". It matches the Rfam family "Bacterial small subunit ribosomal RNA", at positions 28 to 1381 of the family's 1533-position model. The record is from RNAcentral.
AUUGAACGCUGGCGGCAGGCUUAACACAUGCAAGUCGAGCGGUAACAGGGGGUGCUUGCACCCCGCUGACGAGCGGCGGACGGGUGAGUAAUGCUUAGGAAUCUGCCCAGUAGUGGGGGAUAGCCCGGGGAAACCCGGAUUAAUACCGCAUACGUCCUACGGGAGAAAGCAGGGGAUCUUCGGACCUUGCGCUACUGGAUGAGCCUAAGUCGGAUUAGCUAGUUGGUGGGGUAAAGGCCUACCAAGGCGACGAUCCGUAGCUGGUCUGAGAGGAUGAUCAGCCACAUCGGGACUGAGACACGGCCCGAACUCCUACGGGAGGCAGCAGUGGGGAAUAUUGGACAAUGGGGGCAACCCUGAUCCAGCCAUGCCGCGUGUGUGAAGAAGGCUUUCGGGUUGUAAAGCACUUUCAGCGAGGAGGAAGGCUCUGAAGUUAAUACCUUCAGGGAUUGACGUUACUCGCAGAGGAAGCACCGGCUAACUCCGUGCCAGCAGCCGCGGUAAUACGGAGGGUGCAAGCGUUAAUCGGAAUUACUGGGCGUAAAGCGCGCGUAGGUGGUUAGGUAAGCGAGAUGUGAAAGCCCCGGGCUUAACCUGGGAACGGCAUUUCGAACUGUCUGACUAGAGUGUGGUAGAGGGUAGUGGAAUUUCCUGUGUAGCGGUGAAAUGCGUAGAUAUAGGAAGGAACACCAGUGGCGAAGGCGGCUACCUGGACCAACACUGACACUGAGGUGCGAAAGCGUGGGGAGCAAACAGGAUUAGAUACCCUGGUAGUCCACGCCGUAAACGAUGUCAACUAGCCGUUGGGACUCUUGAAGUCUUAGUGGCGCAGCUAACGCACUAAGUUGACCGCCUGGGGAGUACGGCCGCAAGGUUAAAACUCAAAUGAAUUGACGGGGGCCCGCACAAGCGGUGGAGCAUGUGGUUUAAUUCGACGCAACGCGAAGAACCUUACCUGGCCUUGACAUCCAGAGAACUUUCCAGAGAUGGAUUGGUGCCUUCGGGAACUCUGAGACAGGUGCUGCAUGGCCGUCGUCAGCUCGUGUCGUGAGAUGUUGGGUUAAGUCCCGUAACGAGCGCAACCCCUAUCCCUGGUUGCUAGCAGGUAAUGCUGAGAACUCCAGGGAGACUGCCGGUGACAAACCGGAGGAAGGUGGGGAUGACGUCAGGUCAUCAUGGCCCUUACGGCCAGGGCUACACACGUGCUACAAUGGCGCGUACAGAGGGCUGCCAACUCGCGAGAGUGCGCCAAUCCCUUAAAACGCGUCGUAGUCCGGAUCGGAGUCUGCAACUCGACUCCGUGAAGUCGGAAUCGCUAGUAAUCGCGAAUCAGAAUGUCGCGGUGAAUACGUUCCCGGGCCU